GACGCUGGCGGCAGGCCUAACACAUGCAAGUCGAGCGGUAGGAGAGAAGCUUGCUUCUCUUGAGAGCGGCGGACGGGUGAGUAAUGCCUAGGAAUCUGCCUGGUAGUGGGGGAUAACGUUCGGAAACGGACGCUAAUACCGCAUACGUCCUACGGGAGAAAGCAGGGGACCUUCGGGCCUUGCGCUAUCAGAUGAGCCUAGGUCGGAUUAGCUAGUUGGUGAGGUAAUGGCUCACCAAGGCGACGAUCCGUAACUGGUCUGAGAGGAUGAUCAGUCACACUGGAACUGAGACACGGUCCAGACUCCUACGGGAGGCAGCAGUGGGGAAUAUUGGACAAUGGGCGAAAGCCUGAUCCAGCCAUGCCGCGUGUGUGAAGAAGGUCUUCGGAUUGUAAAGCACUUUAAGUUGGGAGGAAGGGUUGUAGAUUAAUACUCUGCAAUUUUGACGUUACCGACAGAAUAAGCACCGGCUAACUCUGUGCCAGCAGCCGCGGUAAUACAGAGGGUGCAAGCGUUAAUCGGAAUUACUGGGCGUAAAGCGCGCGUAGGUGGUUUGUUAAGUUGGAUGUGAAAUCCCCGGGCUCAACCUGGGAACUGCAUUCAAAACUGACUGACUAGAGUAUGGUAGAGGGUGGUGGAAUUUCCUGUGUAGCGGUGAAAUGCGUAGAUAUAGGAAGGAACACCAGUGGCGAAGGCGACCACCUGGACUAAUACUGACACUGAGGUGCGAAAGCGUGGGGAGCAAACAGGAUUAGAUACCCUGGUAGUCCACGCCGUAAACGAUGUCAACUAGCCGUUGGAAGCCUUGAGCUUUUAGUGGCGCAGCUAACGCAUUAAGUUGACCGCCUGGGGAGUACGGCCGCAGGGUUAAAACUCAAAUGAAUUGACGG
This 890-nucleotide ribosomal RNA is filed under the name uncultured Pseudomonas sp. RNAcentral's name for it is "bacterial SSU rRNA". It matches the Rfam family "Bacterial small subunit ribosomal RNA", at positions 32 to 916 of the family's 1533-position model. The record is from RNAcentral. Lineage: Bacteria; Pseudomonadati; Pseudomonadota; Gammaproteobacteria; Pseudomonadales; Pseudomonadaceae.